GGAGUGAGGGGUCUCUGGCGCCCUGGGAUGGAGCCCCGGCUCUGCCUCUGACGAGCCGAGGGGACCUGGGCCCCAGAGAGGCUGGCGGGGUGUGGGGCUCCCUGUGCCCCGUGCCUCAGCCUCACCUGCCACCUGAGCUCUGACAGGCGGUGCUUCCUUGUUCUCAGCAGGAGACGACGGGCAAACGUGCGCGUGUCCUGGGCCUCCCAGGCCAACCCCGUAGGCCCCGUGGCUUCAACCCUUGAGAUACAAAGGUCCCUCCCGGGUCUAGCUGGCUUUCCUGCUGGGGAGGGCAGAGUGCGACCCUGUCCGCCGCCCGUGUCCUCCAGCCGGGCUGGGGCGUCUGUGGGAGAUGCCGCAUCUUGGGGAUCUCUGCAGAAGGCCACUUUCUCCUCUGUCCCUGCGUGGAGGACCAUUCCUUUGUUCACCCACCCACCCAGUUACCGAACCAACAAUGUGGAUCCUGGAGAAAGAACUGUGGAGGAACCAGACGUGAAGGGAAGGAAGAGGAGGUGAGAACCAGAAACAAAUGACAGAAGAAUCCCAGCUGGGAUCACUGCAGCGGGGAAGACGAACAGGCGUGGCGAUAGAAAGUCACGUGGUGGGAGCGGACAGGGCGUCCCCCAGACUCGGUAACGGCCUCUGGAAGCGUCACCGUCCUCCUUCCUGGGUCCCGACGCCGUGGGACCUUCCAUGGCAGAAGGGACUCCGCAGAUGUGAUGAGGCAGCAAGAGGAAACUCACGCCGAAAGCUGGGUAGGCCUGUCGAUGGAGGGCAGGCUGGAGACCUGCCAGGGGGAAGGGGCCGGAGCCAGGUACGCAGAGCCCUCGGGAGAGCAUUCCGGGACAGAUGACAGCAGCAGCAGCAGGGGCAAAGGCCCUGGGGUGGGGGACAUCUGUCUCUCUACGUUCAGCAGAGGACUGGGCAUGUGCAUUAGGACCCAGACGAGGUUCACGGGUGGAUGCGCUUCUUGUCCCUCAUUUCAGUCUGUGGGUUCUCCUGCUGGUUCCCUGCCUUCCUCAACACCCCCCUCCCUCCCCUGCUGGAUCAGAAAACAGACGCGGCACGCUAUUAG
Molecule: long non-coding RNA, 1075 nt
Organism: Phyllostomus hastatus (greater spear-nosed bat)
Lineage: Eukaryota; Metazoa; Chordata; Mammalia; Chiroptera; Phyllostomidae
Exons: 3
Source: RefSeq, a predicted model, not a curated record